Molecule: ribosomal RNA, 247 nt
Filed under: uncultured Gardnerella sp.
Lineage: Bacteria; Bacillati; Actinomycetota; Actinomycetes; Bifidobacteriales; Bifidobacteriaceae
Description: partial 16S ribosomal RNA
Rfam family: Bacterial small subunit ribosomal RNA
Source: RNAcentral
GAGUAAUGCGUGACCAACCUGCCCCAUGCUCCAGAAUAGCUCUUGGAAACGGGUGGUAAUGCUGGAUGCUCCAACUUGACGCAUGUCUUGUUGGGAAAGUGUUUAGUGGCAUGGGAUGGGGUCGCGUCCUAUCAGCUUGUAGGCGGGGUAAUGGCCCACCUAGGCUUCGACGGGUAGCCGGCCUGAGAGGGCGGACGGCCACAUUGGGACUGAGAUACGGCCCAGACUCCUACGGGAGGCAGCAGAA